GAUGAACGCUGGCGGCGUGCCUAAUACAUGCAAGUCGAGCGAACUUUUGGGAGCUUGCUCCCCAAAGUUAGCGGCGGACGGGUGAGUAACACGUGGGUAACCUGCCUGUAAGACUGGGAUAACUUCGGGAAACCGGAGCUAAUACCGGAUAACAUUGAACCCCACAUGGCCUUCAAUUAAAAGUUGGCCUUUAGCUACCACUUACAGAUGGUCCCGCGGCGCAUUAGCUAGUUGGUGAGGUAACGGCUCACCAAGGCGACGAUGCGUAGCCGACCUGAGAGGGUGAUCGGCCACACUGGGACUGAGACACGGCGCAGACUCCUAAGGGAGGCAGCAGUAGGGAAACUUCCGCAAUGGGCGAAAGGCUGACGGAGCAAAGCCGCGUGAGCGAAGAAGGCCUUCGGGUCGUAAAGGUCUGUUGUUAGGGAAGAAAAAGUAUCGUUCGAAUAGGGCGGUACCUUGACGGUACCUAAACAGAAAGCCACGGCUAACUACGUG
RNAcentral lists this ribosomal RNA (498 nucleotides) under uncultured bacterium. Its description in RNAcentral is "partial 16S ribosomal RNA". It matches the Rfam family "Bacterial small subunit ribosomal RNA", at positions 28 to 507 of the family's 1533-position model. The record is from RNAcentral.